RNAcentral lists this ribosomal RNA (349 nucleotides) under uncultured soil bacterium. Its description in RNAcentral is "bacterial SSU rRNA". It matches the Rfam family "Bacterial small subunit ribosomal RNA", at positions 26 to 379 of the family's 1533-position model. The record is from RNAcentral.
AGAUUGAACGCUGGCGGCAUGCUUUACACAUGCAAGUCGAACGGUAACAGGCCGCAAGGUGCUGACGAGUGGCGAACGGGUGAGUAAUGUAGCGGAACGUGCCCAGUCGUGGGGGAUAACGCAGCGAAAGCUGCGCUAAUACCGCAUACGAUCUAUGGAUGAAAGCGGGGGACCGUAAGGCCUCGCGCGAUUGGAGCGGCCGAUAUCAGAUUAGGUAGUUGGUGGGGUAAAGGCUCACCAAGCCAACGAUCUGUAGCUGGUCUGAGAGGACGACCAGCCACACUGGGACUGAGACACGGCCCAGACUCCUACGGGAGCAGCAGUGGGGAAUAGUUGCACAAGUGGGACG